AUGAAGCUGUGUGUAUUUUUGGUUUUCAUCUGUGUGAUGCUGCCGGCAGUGUAUGGGUUGAAGUGUUACACCUGCUGGGGGGACAACCCCGGCUCCUGCAAUUCUGUUUGGGACUGUCCUAAAUCCUAUGACCGCUGUGCCUCCACAAUAGGUAAGUUUAACUCAUCGCCACUUUUGGCUUAAAUUUACACAUCAUUUUUAGUAUACAUUUUUUCUUCCAUUUUUGCUGUUGCACCAGUACAAUUCUGUUCAGCUAUGGCAAGAACAGAAGUAGUCGGAACUUUAAUUCUGACAUUCCACUCUUAUGACACAAUGUACCUUUUUUUUAAAAAAAAAAUAACUUUUCUUGCUUUUCUCUCUUGCAGUGUCUCAAAAUAUGAUCUCCAAACACUGUAUGAGGAGUGAUUUGUGCUCAAAUUCUUACAGCGUGGGUGUCAGAUGCUGUGCUGAAGACCUGUGUAAUGGAGCAAAACAAACUGCAGUCUUUGUCCCUCUUCUUCUGGUGCCCAUAGCUGUUAGUACACUAUUCACAUGAACACAUUACAUUCUCACAUUGUAAAAAUCUUAAUGUGUCUGAAUCUAUCGAGAAGAUCAGCUUUCUUGAAAAAAAAAAGAAGCUAUACUGGGAAUCAAUCAACUUUGGAGGCUGUGGUGAUCUUUUAAAAUGUAUUUGUAUAUUUUCUAAACUCUUGGACUAUUGAAAGGAAUAAAAUGUCUCUACUGUAUCUGUAAUUAUUGUGAUGGUUCCUCUAUUUAUAUCUUUAUUUAGAUACUGUAUAUGUUGAAUUAUUUCUAUUUUAUCAUGUGCCAUACAUAAAUACAAUACAGUAAAAAUACAAUUUGAGUUGUAAUUUCCUUUACUGGACAACUGUUGCUAUCUUUUUGUGGUUUCAUUGUGGGGUUUUAGGGUUAGGAGAGGAACAGUAAGAGGAAGAGCACAGCCUUGUGAUCACAGAUGGAAAAAAAAAAUCACAUCUUUCGCAGUAGAGGGCAGUAUAGGAGAAAGCAAAAGGUGGCCCACUUAACAUAUUUGUCUGAGACCAAAUUCAAGUACCUACCAAAAUAUUGAAUAUUCUCACAAUUUACUUUAAUUCAUCUACUUUUUUUGGCAAUAGUCUUUUGUAACAGGAAUGUAUGGUUGCAAUUUGCUUGUAAAAUCAGGUAAAUGGGACGUAAUCAUAAUAGAGUUGAGUACAAAAUAACAGCUAUGGCUGAUGUAUAACAACAUGCUACAUUAAAAGCUGCAGAACAUUUUUUUUUUCAAUAUUUACAACUCGGUGGCAGCCUGGGGUCACGCUUUGAUUUACCGGAGUAAUCAUAUUCCCAUUGUACAAUUAAUGGACGUAUUUGUGAAGUAAAAUCACAGCCCCACAAACUUCCAAAUGACCUGCUGAGCACUUGUGAAAGAGCAGAACAAGACCACACCCGGCUGACUAUCGGCUCUAAUAUCUAUUCAAAGUGGUUUAUUACACAGUAACUGCACAUAAAAAAGAAAACAGAGAGACCUUUGUUCAGUCACUCCUAACGUGACGUGGUCUGCAAAAUCAAAGGGAAAACUAAACAACAAGGGUUUAACCAUUAUACAAUCACCCCAGUUUCAGGAUAUAAUUCAUCUGUGUGUAUUCACCAUGUCAGUAGUUUGUAUUGCUUUAUAUUAUCAAUAAAUUGUAAUAACAAAAAGUAAAAACUGAAGAGUAAAAGUGAGAUUUUAGCUUUUUUUUAAAUUGAAAAACCUGAUGAAUCUCUACUACUAAUCAAAAAUAGAAUUACCACACAUUAGUUUUGUAUCUGCAAUUGUGAUUUCACAUCAAAUCAUGGAACUAAAAAAACCCAAUGUUACUGUAGCUCAAUCAGAGGUUCCUUCAAACAUAAUCACAGUAAAUCAUGCACAAGAUUAUGUUCUGCGAGUCGGCUUGUUGCUCAGUGGGAUCACACUUGGCCACACUUGAUUGCAGCAGCUCGCUGUGGGAGCCAUAUUAACUGAGCAGUGUCAUGUUGAUGAAUGAACGGGAGAAAUUGUUAUUUUAUCAAUUGAUUAUUUAUGUUUAACAGAUGUGAAUUCAAGAAAUGACUCUAAACCGACGCAGGACACAGCAACUACAUUUUUAAAGUGAAGUACCUCAAAGUCACAUACUUUAAUCACAUAUACGCCAUGUGAGAAUAGUGAACUGUAUAUAAUUUGUUGUGUGUGUGUGUGUGUGUGACUGUGAAUGUGACUUGAACUGUAAAAAUUGCAGUGAGUGGUUGACUAGAAAAGUGCUACACAAAUACAAAUCAUUAAAUUUUUCAUAAGAAUGGUCAAAAGACGUCUUCUUCCACCAAAACAGAACGUUUGUGAUAUUAUGUUGAGCAGCAAAUGAAUUUGGAAAUCGAAACCUCUGCACAGGAAAUAGUUUCAGCUGAUGUUCAUUUUGAUAUUAGAAUCAAAUUAUUGGGGAGUCAAUGCCCUCAUGCAGUGUUUAUUAGCUCUCUGAUCAGGGGAUUUUUUUGUUUUGCCUGAAAAAAUGGUAUGCUGUAUGUCAUUCAAUGAUACCAAAGUAAAACCUAAUUUUUUAAAUAUCCCAAUAUAUACAAUCAUAGAAAAUAUACCAAUGGAGAACUGCUCUUUGGAAAGAGAAAGAGAAUAAUGAAGUUUUUCUCUCUCUGGCAUUUUCACUAGCCAGUCAACAGUGAAUAAUAUCUUAAAUAAACAUGAUUAUCGUCUUUCUGUUUCCGUAGUGUUAUUAAUAACACAAGCAUGUCUCAUUCGGUGAUAUGUGACCCUUUCUUGGCCCAAUAAGUGACAAACUCAUUUCCACUAACACUAUAAAUACAUCACUGACUAUUGAAGACCGCUGUGCCCAGUGUUUGCAACAAACACAGACUUUAUCCCUUUCGAUGGCAUCCAAAGUGCAUUUCGUUCCCUAAUGAAGACUGAAAAUUGCAACACAUCGAGUGAAAAAAAAAGACAUCCGCUGGUUAAUUGAAUCAUCGCGGUUGAGCAGGUUUGAGAUUAAUUCCACGUAAGGAGAAGAUCAAAAGCGAGCCAGUUAGGGGGAUGUUGAGGGGAAUGAGAGCACUGAGGCUUGUGGGAUAAUCCCAUUAAGAGCUGCACAUUGGUUCAGACUGAGGAUCCACAACUGUACAGUAUGUCGGAGCUCAGGGCGAAACAGUCUAUGAAGAGAUGGAGAAGGGUCACAAGCGAACCUGCGUUCUGAACGUGUUAGAACACUGCAUGUUCGUCUGUGAUUCUGUGCUUUCAGAGCACAGCCUUUUUCAAUUAUGAUUUUGAGCAAUGAUCAACGUUUGUGUCUGGAACAGAUUGGAUUACCAAAAAAACAAGAGAACUGCACUGCUUAAUACUAAUUGCCAAGGACAUAUUUUAAUACACUGGAAUACACAUACACAUUUGCAUUGCAUUUGUCGUUGCAGGGUUCAUCAAUGACGUCGGCUGCGACUACGCUUGCACGCAUUAGAUCUAAAACUGGAAUUUAUAUGUAUUUGUGCAAAUAUUAGCAUUUCCAUACCACACACUGUUUAUCAAAACCACACGCCAAUGAAAAUCAUCUGAAGAGCUAUACCCAGUGCUGUAUUAUAUAUGUAUGUCUAAAUCAAUGCUUACUUUUUAUUAGUGACAUAAUAGCAUUUCAUAACGUCUUGAUCUCAUUUAUACCAUAAAUGAUGAAUGAUUGCUAACUCUAAAUAAACUGUGUAGACUGUGUCUCUAAUCCUACUGGAUGCAAACAUUUUAUGCAGUACUACAUUAUAUGACGUCAUUUUCUGACUUAAUCGUUACCUCAUGAUGACGUCAUUCCAACUUUAUUAUCAUGAAUUAUUUUUUGAUCUAUAAAAGCUUUAGUUUGUGUCCAUAGUCCUAUAGGACACAGAGAUUCCUCGAAAAAUGCUUUUUUGAAAUAUGCAUGACAUCAUUUUCUUUGCGACUUCUUUAUGACGUCACUUAUCACAUGAUGUCAUAUGAUAGGGAAUAUAUUUGUGAUCAAUAUAACAUUUAGAAUAUCUCUCAAGCUCUAUUAUUCUUGGAGAUAUCUUGGAAAGUGUGUUUUUUCAGAUCAUGUUUCAGUUGACGUUGACCUUUGACCUUUGACCGAUCAGUUAAUCAAGUUAAUCCUCUGGAUCCAAAGUAAUAUUCCAACUAGGUCUGAUGUUUUUGACUUGUUUUGUAUACACAAUGUUGAGAAGGUACUGUAUCAUGUUUACCAUAUUUAGUAUAUUAGUUUUGUGUGUUUGCAUUAUAACUUUUGACAAUAACACAAAACAGAGUAAAGCUGAGAUGGGAAUGCCAUUAGGUUUUACAAUAAUGUAACUUUGGACCUGCUGUUAUAAAGUUUAGGAAUCU
Molecule: long non-coding RNA, 4336 nt
Filed under: Scophthalmus maximus (turbot)
Lineage: Eukaryota; Metazoa; Chordata; Actinopteri; Pleuronectiformes; Scophthalmidae
Description: lncRNA (ENSSMAG00000028584.1)
Source: RNAcentral